RNAcentral lists this transfer RNA (66 nucleotides) under Benthodytes marianensis. RNAcentral's name for it is "tRNA-Ser". It matches the Rfam family "tRNA". Rfam says of the family: Transfer RNA (tRNA) molecules are approximately 80 nucleotides in length. Their secondary structure includes four short double-helical elements and three loops (D, anti-codon, and T loops). The record is from RNAcentral. Lineage: Eukaryota; Metazoa; Echinodermata; Holothuroidea; Elasipodida; Psychropotidae.
GGAGAAGUGGCAGAAAAUGUGUUUGAUUUGAAAUCAAUUGAUGAAGAUUAAUAUCUUCCUUCUCUU